AGAAGUGGAAGAUGAACUGAAGAUCAGAACGACAGGUUUGCUGUUCCAACACACAGGAUGUAAAGACAACAGGUUUGCUGUUCCAACACACAGGAUGUAAAGACAACAGGUUUGCUGUUCCAACACAGGAUGUAAAGACAACAGGUUUGCUGUUCUAACACACAGGAUGUAAAGACAACAGGUUUGCUGUUCUAACACACAGGAUGUAAAGACAACAGGUUUACUGUUCUAACACACAGGAUGUAAAGACAACAGGUUUGCUGUUCUAACACACAGGAUGUAAAGACAACAGGUUUGCUGUUCCAACACACAGGAUGUAAAGACAACAGGUUUACUGUUCCAACACACAGGAUGUAAAGACAACAGGUUUGCUGUUCUAACACACAGGAUGUAAAGACAACAGGUUUGCUGUUCCAACACACAGGAUGUAAAGACAACAGGUUUACUGUUCUAACACACAGGAUGUAAAGACAACAGGUUUGCUGUUCUAACACACAGGAUGUAAAGACAACAGGUUUACUGUUCUAACACACAGGAUGUAAAGACAACAGGUUUGCUGUUCCAACACACAGGAUGUAAAGACAACAGGUUUACUGUUCCAACACACAGGAUGUAAAGACAACAGGUUUACUGUUCCAACACACAGGAUGUAAAGACAACAGGUUUACUGUUCUAACACACAGGAUGUAAAGACAACAGGUUUGCUGUUCCAACACACAGGAUGUAAAGACAACAGGUUUACUGUUCCAACACACAGGAUGUAAAGACAACAGGUUUACUGUUCCAACACACAGGAUGUAAAGACAACAGGUUUACUGUUCCAACACACAGGAUGUAAAGACAACAGGUUUGCUGUUCUAACACACAGGAUGUAAAGACAACAGGUUUGCUGUUCUAACACACAGGAUGUAAAGACAACAGGUUUACUGUUCCAACACACAGGAUGUAAAGACAACAGGUUUGCUGUUCUAACACACAGGAUGUAAAGACAACAGGUUUACUGUUCUAACACACAGGAUGUAAAGACAACAGGUUUGCUGUUCUAACACACAGGAUGUAAAGACAACAGGUUUACUGUUCUAACACACAGGAUGUAAAGACAACAGGUUUACUGUUCCAACACACAGGAUGUAAAGACAACAGGUUUGCUGUUCCAACACACAGGAUGUAAAGACAACAGGUUUACUGUUCUAACACACAGGAUGUAAAGACAACAGGUUUACUGUUCUAACACACAGGAUGUAAAGACAACAGGUUUACUGUUCCAACACACAGGAUGUAAAGACAACAGGUUUACUGUUCCAACACACAGGAUGUAAAGACAACAGGUUUACUGUUCUAACACACAGGAUGUAAAGACAACAGGUUUACUGUUCUAACACACAGGAUGUAAAGACAACAGGUUUACUGUUCUAACACACAGGAUGUAAAGACAACAGGUUUACUGUUCCAACACAGGAUGUAAAGACAACAGGUUUGCUGUUCUAACACACAGGAUGUAAAGACAACAGGUUUACUGUUCUAACACACAGGAUGUAAAGACAACAGGUUUACUGUUCUAACACACAGGAUGUAAAGACAACAGGUUUACUGUUCUAACACACAGGAUGUAAAGACAACAGGUUUACUGUUCUAACACACAGGAUGUAAAGACAACAGGUUUACUGUUCCAACACACAGGAUGUAAAGACAACAGGUUUGCUGUUCCAACACACAGGAUGUAAAGACAACAGGUUUACUGUUCCAACACACAGGAUGUAAAGACAACAGGUUUGCUGUUCUAACACAGGAUGUAAAGACAACAGGUUUACUGUUCUAACACACAGGAUGUAAAGACAACAGGUUUGCUGUUCCAACACACAGGAUGUAAAGACAACAGGUUUACUGUUCUAACACAGGAUGUAAAGACAACAGGUUUGCUGUUCCAACACACAGGAUGUAAAGACAACAGGUUUACUGUUCCAACACACAGGAUGUAAAGACAACAGGUUUACUGUUCUAACACACAGGAUGUAAAGACAACAGGUUUGCUGUUCUAACACACAGGAUGUAAAGACAACAGGUUUACUGUUCCAACACACAGGAUGUAAAGACAACAGGUUUACUGUUCUAACACACAGGAUGUAAAGACAACAGGUUUACUGUUCUAACACACAGGAUGUAAAGACAACAGGUUUACUGUUCCAACACACAGGAUGUAAAGACAACAGGUUUGCUGUUCCAACACACAGGAUGUAAAGACAACAGGUUUACUGUUCCAACACACAGGAUGUAAAGACAACAGGUUUACUGUUCUAACACAGGAUGUAAAGACAACAGGUUUACUGUUCUAACACACAGGAUGUAAAGACAACAGGUUUGCUGUUCUAACACACAGGAUGUAAAGACAACAGGUUUACUGUUCUAACACACAGGAUGUAAAGACAACAGGUUUGCUGUUCCAACACACAGGAUGUAAAGACAACAGGUUUACUGUUCCAACACACAGGAUGUAAAGACAACAGGUUUGCUGUUCUAACACACAGGAUGUAAAGACAACAGGUUUACUGUUCCAACACACAGGAUGUAAAGACAACAGGUUUACUGUUCCAACACACAGGAUGUAAAGACAACAGGUUUGCUGUUCCAACACACAGGAUGUAAAGACAACAGGUUUACUGUUCCAACACACAGGAUGUAAAGACAACAGGUUUACUGUUCUAACACACAGGAUGUAAAGACAACAGGUUUACUGUUCUAACACACAGGAUGUAAAGACAACAGGUUUACUGUUCCAACACACAGGAUGUAAAGACAACAGGUUUACUGUUCUAACACACAGGAUGUAAAGACAACAGGUUUACUGUUCCAACACACAGGAUGUAAAGACAACAGGUUUACUGUUCCAACACACAGGAUGUAAAGACAACAGGUUUACUGUUCCAACACACAGGAUGUAAAGACAACAGGUUUACUGUUCCAACACACAGGAUGUAAAGACAACAGGUUUGCUGUUCUAACACACAGGAUGUAAAGACAACAGGUUUGCUGUUCUAACACACAGGAUGUAAAGACAACAGGUUUACUGUUCUAACACACAGGAUGUAAAGACAACAGGUUUACUGUUCCAACACACAGGAUGUAAAGACAACAGGUUUACUGUUCCAACACACAGGAUGUAAAGACAACAGGUUUGCUGUUCCAACACACAGGAUGUAAAGACAACAGGUUUGCUGUUCUAACACACAGGAUGUAAAGACAACAGGUUUGCUGUUCCAACACACAGGAUGUAAAGACAACAGGUUUACUGUUCUAACACACAGGAUGUAAAGACAACAGGUUUGCUGUUCUAACACACAGGAUGUAAAGACAACAGGUUUGCUGUUCCAACACACAGGAUGUAAAGACAACAGGUUUACUGUUCCAACACACAGGAUGUAAAGACAACAGGUUUACUGUUCCAACACACAGGAUGUAAAGACAACAGGUUUGCUGUUCCAACACACAGGAUGUAAAGACAACAGGUUUGCUGUUCCAACACACAGGAUGUAAAGACAACAGGUUUGCUGUUCUAACACACAGGAUGUAAAGACAACAGGUUUACUGUUCCAACACACAGGAUGUAAAGACAACAGGUUUACUGUUCCAACACACAGGAUGUAAAGACAACAGGUUUGCUGUUCCAACACACAGGAUGUAAAGACAACAGGUUUACUGUUCUAACACACAGGAUGUAAAGACAACAGGUUUACUGUUCCAACACACAGGAUGUAAAGACAACAGGUUUGCUGUUCUAACACACAGGAUGUAAAGACAACAGGUUUACUGUUCUAACACACAGGAUGUAAAGACAACAGGUUUACUGUUCCAACACACAGGAUGUAAAGACAACAGGUUUACUGUUCCAACACACAGGAUGUAAAGACAACAGGUUUGCUGUUCCAACACACAGGAUGUAAAGACAACAGGUUUACUGUUCCAACACACAGGAUGUAAAGACAACAGGUUUGCUGUUCCAACACACAGGAUGUAAAGACAACAGGUUUACUGUUCUAACACAGGAUGUAAAGACAACAGGUUUACUGUUCUAACACACAGGAUGUAAAGACAACAGGUUUGCUGUUCUAACACACAGGAUGUAAAGACAACAGGUUUGCUGUUCUAACACACAGGAUGUAAAGACAACAGGUUUACUGUUCCAACACACAGGAUGUAAAGACAACAGGUUUGCUGUUCUAACACACAGGAUGUAAAGACAACAGGUUUGCUGUUCUAACACACAGGAUGUAAAGACAACAGGUUUACUGUUCUAACACACAGGAUGUAAAGACAACAGGUUUACUGUUCCAACACACAGGAUGUAAAGACAACAGGUUUACUGUUCCAACACACAGGAUGUAAAGACAACAGGUUUGCUGUUCUAACACACAGGAUGUAAAGACAACAGGUUUGCUGUUCCAACACACAGGAUGUAAAGACAACAACAGGUUUGCUGUUCCAACACAG
This is a long non-coding RNA of Oncorhynchus keta (chum salmon), 4485 nucleotides long. RefSeq lists it as uncharacterized. The record is from RefSeq and is a predicted model, not a curated record. NCBI's taxonomy places the organism in Eukaryota, Metazoa, Chordata, Actinopteri, Salmoniformes, Salmonidae. The transcript is spliced from 3 exons.